UACGAAGGGGGCUAGCGUUGUUCGGAAUUACUGGGCGUAAAGGGCGCGUAGGCGGCCUUGUCAGUCAGAUGUGAAAGCCCGAGGCUCAACCUCGGAACUGCCUUCGAUACUGCGGGUCUCGAGUCCGGGAGAGGUGAGUGGAAUUCCUAGUGUAGAGGUGAAAUUCGUAGAUAUUAGGAAGAACACCAGUGGCGAAGGCGGCUCACUGGCCCGGUACUGACGCUGAGGCGCGAAAGCGUGGGGAGCAAACAGG
This 253-nucleotide ribosomal RNA is filed under the name uncultured bacterium. RNAcentral describes it as "partial 16S ribosomal RNA". It matches the Rfam family "Bacterial small subunit ribosomal RNA", at positions 524 to 776 of the family's 1533-position model. The record is from RNAcentral.